GAUCCUGGCUCAGGAUGAACGCUAGCUACAGGCUUAACACAUGCAAGUCGAGGGGCAGCGAGAAGAAAGCUUGCUUCUUGCCGGCGACCGGCGCACGGGUGAGUAACGCGUAUCCAACCUUCCCCUUAGUAGGGCAUAGCCCGGCGAAAGUCGGAUUAAUACCCUAUGUUAUUCGUAGAGGACAUCUGAAAUGAAUCAAAGAUUUAUCGCUAAGGGAUGGGGAUGCGUCUGAUUAGGUAGUAGGCGGGGUAACGGCCCACCUAGCCUACGAUCAGUAGGGGUUCUGAGAGGAAGGUCCCCCACAUUGGAACUGAGACACGGUCCAAACUCCUACGGGAGGCAGCAGUGAGGAAUAUUGGUCAAUGGACGAGAGUCUGAACCAGCCAAGUAAGCGUGCAGGAUGACGGCCCUAUGGGUUGUAAACUGCUUUUAUACGGGGAUAAAGUGAGGGACGUGUCCCUUUUUGUAGGUACCGUAUGAAUAAGGACCGGCUAAUUCCGUGCCAGCAGCGGC
RNAcentral lists this ribosomal RNA (513 nucleotides) under uncultured bacterium. RNAcentral's name for it is "bacterial SSU rRNA". It matches the Rfam family "Bacterial small subunit ribosomal RNA", at positions 15 to 518 of the family's 1533-position model. The record is from RNAcentral.